RNAcentral lists this ribosomal RNA (989 nucleotides) under human gut metagenome. RNAcentral's name for it is "bacterial LSU rRNA". It matches the Rfam family "Bacterial large subunit ribosomal RNA", at positions 1938 to 2925 of the family's 2925-position model. The record is from RNAcentral.
AACUAUAACGGUCCUAAGGUAGCGAAAUUCCUUGUCAGGUAAGUUCUGACCCGCACGAAAGGCGUAACGAUUUGGGCGCUGUCUCAGCUGUAGACUCGGUGAAGUCUUAGUACCUGUGAAGAUGCAGGUUACCCGCGACUAGACGGAAAGACCCCAUGGAGCUUCACUGCAGGUUGAUAUUGGGAUUUGAUGCAGCAUGUACAGGAUAGGUAGGAGGCAAAGAGAUGGAUACGCCAGUAUUCAAGGAGCCGCUGUUGGGAUACUACCCCUGUUGUAUUGGAUUUCUAACCGGACGACGUAGAGCCGUUGACGGGACAGUGUCAGUCGGGCAGUUUGACUGGGGCGGUCGCCUCCCAAAGAGUAACGGAGGCGCCCAAAGAUACCCUCAGCUUGGAUGGAAACCAAGCGCAGAGUGCAAAGGCAAAAGGGUGUUUGACUGCGAGACCCACAAGUCGAGCAGGGACGAAAGUCGGGCUUAGUGAUCCGGCGGUGCUGAAUGGAAAGGCCGUCGCUCAACGGAUAAAAGCUACCCUGGGGAUAACAGGCUGAUCUCCCCCAAGAGUUCACAUCGACGGGGAGGUUUGGCACCUCGAUGUCGGCUCAUCGCAUCCUGGAGCUGAAGUCGGUUCCAAGGGUUGGGCUGUUCGCCCAUUAAAGCGGUACGCGAGCUGGGUUCAGAACGUCGUGAGACAGUUCGGUCCCUAUCUGUCGUGGGCGCAGGAAAUUUGAGAAGAGCUGUCCUCAGUACGAGAGGACCGGGAUGGACGCAUCAAUGGUGGACCAGUUGUCACGCCAGUGGCAUAGCUGGGUAGCUAAAUGCGGAAGGGAUAAACGCUGAAGGCAUCUAAGUGUGAAACCCACUUCAAGAUGAGAUUUCCCAUUGCGCAAGCAAGUAAGACCCCUUAAAGACGAUAAGGUAGAUAGGUCAGGAGUGUAAGCAUGGUGACAUGUUAAGCGGACUGAUACUAAUAGGUCGAGGGCUUGACCGA